UACGAAGGGGGCUAGCGUUGUUCGGAAUCACUGGGCGUAAAGCGCACGUAGGCGGACUGUUAAGUCAGGGGUGAAAUCCUGGGGCUCAACCCCAGAACUGCCCUUGAUACUGGCGAUCUUGAGUGUGGAAGAGGUUGGUGGAACUCCGAGUGUAGAGGUGAAAUUCGUAGAUAUUCGGAAGAACACCGGUGGCGAAGGCGGCCAACUGGUCCACUACUGACGCUGAGGUGCGAAAGCGUGGGGAGCAAACAGG
RNAcentral lists this ribosomal RNA (253 nucleotides) under uncultured bacterium. RNAcentral describes it as "partial 16S ribosomal RNA". It matches the Rfam family "Bacterial small subunit ribosomal RNA", at positions 524 to 776 of the family's 1533-position model. The record is from RNAcentral.